AACGCGAAGAACCUUACCUGGGCUCGAAAUGCUGUGGACCAGCUUAUGAAAGUAGGCCUUCCCGCAAGGGACCGCAGUAUAGGUGCUGCAUGGCUGUCGUCAGCUCGUGUCGUGAGAUGUUGGGUUAAGUCCCGCAACGAGCGCAACCCUUGUCCUGUGUUGCCAUACCGAAAGGUGGAACUCGCAGGAGACCGCCAGGGAUAACCUGGAGGAAGGUGGGGAUGACGUCAAGUCCUCAUGGCCUUUAUGUCCAGGGCUACACACGUGCUACAAUGGACGGUACAAAGGGCUGCCAACCCGCGAGGGGGAGCCAAUCGCAAAAAACUGACCUCAGUACAGAUAAGAGUCUGCAACUCGACUCUUUGAAGUUGGAAUCGCUAGUAAUCCCUGAUCAGCAGGCAGGGGUGAAUACGUUCCCGGGCCUUGUACACACCGAGACGUA
RNAcentral lists this ribosomal RNA (442 nucleotides) under uncultured bacterium. RNAcentral's name for it is "bacterial SSU rRNA". It matches the Rfam family "Bacterial small subunit ribosomal RNA", at positions 958 to 1398 of the family's 1533-position model. The record is from RNAcentral.